UAGCUCAGUGGAUAGAGCGUCAGCCUGUGGACUGAAGGGUCCCAGGUUUGAUUCCUGG
This 58-nucleotide transfer RNA is filed under the name Myotis davidii. Lineage: Eukaryota; Metazoa; Chordata; Mammalia; Chiroptera; Vespertilionidae. The record is from Rfam by way of RNAcentral.